UUUUUCUUUUUUCUUUUUUUUUAACUGCCACACCCAUAGUAUGUGGAAGUUCCCAGGCUAGGGGUCGAAUUGGAGCUGCAGGUGCUGGCCUACAUCACAGCCGCAGCAAUGCCAGAUUUGAGCUGCAUCUGUGACCUACACCACAGCUUAUGGCAAUGCUGGAUCCUUAACCCACUGAGUGAGGCCACAGUAUUCAGUAUUCUGCAUCCUCAUGAAUACUAGUCAGAUUUGUUUCUGCUGCACCACAACGGAAACUCCAUGGGCUGGCUUUGUGUUGAGCAAGAAGGGUAUAGGAGAGAGAGGAAGCUAAGAUUACUCCCAGGUGAGUAAUUUGGGACCUAAUGGCACCACACACGUUAGAAACAUAGACUAGGGAAAAAUUUGGCUGGUGUGAAUGGAUAUCAAGAGUUCACUAUGGAUACGUGGAGUGUAAAUAACAGAUUGGAAAUUUUGAUGUAUACACUCGAAAGAUAAUUGGGAAUAUCAGCAUGGAAUUCAAGAGUGAGACCUGGGCCAAGUGGCGUGAGAAUGAAUAGAAUACUGGGGGUAUACUCAGGAUACAACAUCUAUCUCAGAAAGAUUGCUACACAUUCUUGGGAUUCCCUCAAGGGUCAUUUUCAGCAGCUGCAAGGGAACAGGGAGAAGACUGAAAUUGAAGCAACUAGAGUCUGUGAUACGAGAAGGGGGGAUAGAGGAUUCCUAGAUCAUCGUUUUUUGCUGUUUCCUUGAUGCUAUAGUUGGAGCAGCUAGAAUAGGUGGUGGGCAUCUUUGCUGAACUAUUACCUCAUUUGGAGGAAACUACUUCCCUAGGGGUCAAAACAGUUCUCCACAAUUAGCUUUCCUGUGAAUAACAACAGCUGACCACUUUUGAGUGCUUAAUAUAUCAUGUAUCCUUUGAGUCUAAAACGUCCCUAAAAAGUAUGCUGCUUGCAGUGAAUGGGUUAUAGUUUGGUGGAACAUAUGCUCUGUUGCAGAGUAAAAUAUCAGUUUCUGCCUAGUGUACCAAUCCCAGUGUUGUUAUUGAUGUAUCCAAUUUUAUUCUCUGAAGGGCCCACAUCUGCAUGAUAAAUUAUAUGGUCCUACUAGCUAUAAAUGUGCUAAGAUAUUGAUCCAUUCAAGGAGGCUGGACAGCUUAUCAUGGUUGGGAAACCCCAAGUUAGUAUCCCCUGGCUUCAUCCAUUUGCCUUGGUGCGCUAGGCAAAUUACAAUUUUUUUUUUUUUAUGUUGCCAAGAUGUGAAGAGGUAGAGAAUCUGGGGAACUUGCUUGGGAUUAUUAUUCCAAAUUUAGAGAUAAGGAUAUGGGUUAAGUGGCACAACCAAGAUCAGAUAGGAAUAGAGAAGAUAAAAAUGCAAUCCCUCUAAAUGGUUUCACAUUGCUUUCCAAGAAUCCUCCUAUUAAAAAUAGCAUCUGGUUAAUUCAUUCUAUGCCCAGGGAUGCCAAUCACAGACUCAUUCUCUUUAAGCUGAAAUCAUUUUGUGACAAUGAUAUCAGAAAGUAUUCACCUUUUAAGACUCUAUCAAAAAGAGAAAUACUUCUUACUUUUUGGAAACAAUUGCACCAUUUGAGACCCAACCAAGUAUUUCAGAGGAGCCUUAAAACAAAUGAACUAGAACCUGAUAUAGAGUGUAAUUUAUUCUGCACAUUAUUUCCAUUUAUGUGGUUCCUGACAUUGAAUCUUCAAGUCACAAUGAAACACUGCUUUAUUCUCAAGCAUACUCUUAAAAUCAUUUGACUUAGACGAUUUACAAAAAGUAGUUGAAAAACACAAUCUGGUAAAGACUUAGACUAUUUCUUUCUAUUGUAACCGGUCAUACAAAGUUUUUCCUAAAUACUUACCUAUACAUUUCAGUCCCUAAAACUAGUUAUAGUAUUCAGCCAGAGUAUUUCUUUUUGCAAAGUAUAAAUUCAAUGAAACUAAGUCAAUGAAGAAAAAAUUAAAUCAAAUAGGAUUAUGUAAAGAAACUUCCUACCCUAACUUGUCCAGAGUUAUCUAGUUACUAAGUGAAAGAGUAGGGGAUUAAAGACAGGUUUAGAGGAUUUCAAAGCCUAGGGCUUUGAGAUGAAGUUCACAGCUGUCCUCCGUGAUUUAUGCCACUCAUCUGGAUUCCCAUCCCCAUGAGACUUAAUUUCUCAGAGCUGACUCAAAUCCCAUUCUUUGAAUUCCCUUUCUGACUACAACUUCUUAUUGUUCUCUAAUUCAACCAAAUAUUUUCUUCAACAUCAUUAUAGUUUCCAGUUUCUCAGUCUCCUCUCUCUCCCUAAUCUAAAACCAUCAAUCUAUUUCUGGUUUUACUUUCCUAUACUAGCCAGGUAGUACCUUUUGGGCAACUAUUGCAACAAAGCUUUCCCCAAUACUAUCUGAUUCCUUUUCUAGCUAGUCUGGGUAACUUAAACCCACCCUUUCAAUGGGAUUCCUUUAUGUGAAGCAAUACAAUUAUCCAGAUAAGAACCUGGAGACUUGAGGGCCUUUGUCAUUGGAAUAGAGCAUUUAAGCAUUGUAAAUAAAAUGCCAUCAUCCAGAAAAUCUGGUCCACAUGAUCCUAUUUAUUCUAAUCCAUUAAAUGCAUGGUGAAAUAUGUUUAGCAGAUGAAUGUAAGCCCCUACAGAUAGCAGCUGCUCAAUUCUUUUUGAGUAUAAAUAGUAUUUAAUAUCUUAAUGGAAGAGUAAUUUAUUCACUCACAGAAUUUAAACUUUAAAAAGUUUCUCCUAGUACUAUGAAACAUAUCUUUGAAUAACCAAAUUAUUUUAGAAAUUUCACCAGGAGAUAUUUAAGUUGUAUUAUUUUAAUAUAACUGUUUAAAGAAAUAGCAGGCUAGUGCUGUUUUAUUAAUAUAUUUUAAAGAUCUUCCUAUGAAAGUAAUAAAAUUUAUCAAUUUAAAUAUCACAUACGUAAUAAAAAGUACUAAAAUUUUAUGAAUACAUAUACUAAAAAGUAUACACAUGUAUACUCAUUCCAUAACAUCAAAUAUAUAAGUGAAUAUUGAUAUUUAUGAAGUGGGACUAUAAAUUAACUAGACAUAUUUUCCCCAAGCUGCCCAUAAAUAUAAGACUAGUUUCAUUAUUUAAUGAUAUUUGCUUUGUAAAACAGAGUAAUAGAACUUUAGAAUAAAAGUGAUUAGCAGAUUCAGUAUGGAUUUGAUCUUUACCUCUGUCAAAACCCAAAUGAUCAGGUUUUAGUGUCAUAAACUGUAAAUUAUGAAUA
Molecule: long non-coding RNA, 3203 nt
Filed under: Sus scrofa (pig)
Lineage: Eukaryota; Metazoa; Chordata; Mammalia; Artiodactyla; Suidae
Description: lncRNA (ENSSSCG00015012901.1)
Source: RNAcentral